GACGAACGCUGGCGGCGUGCCUAAUACAUGCAAGUCGAACGGUCUUUUCUAUGGAAGUUUGCUUCCACUGAGAAGAUAGUGGCGAACGGGUGAGUAACACGUGGGUAACCUGCCCAUAAGAGGGGGAUAACAUCCGGAAACGGGUGCUAAUACCGCAUAGUUUUCUUGAUCGCAUGAUUGAGAAAGGAAAGACGGCCUUUGUGCUGUCGCUUAUGGAUGGACCCGCGGCGUAUUAGUUAGUUGGUGAGGUAACGGCUCACCAAGACGAUGAUACGUAGCCGACCUGAGAGGGUGAUCGGCCACAUUGGGACUGAGACACGGCCCGAACUCCUACGGGAGGCAGCAGUAGGGAAUCUUCCGCAAUGGACGAAAGUCUGACGGAGCAACGCCGCGUGAGUGAAGAAGGUUUUCGGAUCGUAAAACUCUGUUGUCAGAGAAGAACAAGUUGGAGAGUAACUGCUCCAGCCUUGACGGUAUCUGACCAGAAAGCCACGGCUAACU
RNAcentral lists this ribosomal RNA (501 nucleotides) under uncultured bacterium. RNAcentral's name for it is "bacterial SSU rRNA". It matches the Rfam family "Bacterial small subunit ribosomal RNA", at positions 28 to 502 of the family's 1533-position model. The record is from RNAcentral.